RNA transcript from Mus musculus (house mouse), 2205 nucleotides. It is a transcript of the gene named nei endonuclease VIII-like 1 (E. coli), with no coding region annotated. The transcript is spliced from 9 exons. Lineage: Eukaryota; Metazoa; Chordata; Mammalia; Rodentia; Muridae. The record is from RefSeq and is marked validated.
UUUUUUUUUUUUUUUGCCUGAGGUUGUGACAGUCAAACCAAGCUUUUGUGCCUAACUCCUGACUUUACCUAGUGCUGCCCCAGAUAUAAGCCCCUGUGGUAUUGCCGGAUGCACUCCCCCCUCUCGGCCCCCUAGCUCCCGCAGGCCGUGAUAAAGUUGUUUAUAUGUUACAUCUGACUGCUCAUUGACACGGCCAUCUUGGGUCCCCAGGGAUUGUUUAUCUUGCACCUGUGUAUGCCUCGCAUACAGCUGCUUGUGGCUCUACACAGCGCCGUUUCCGGCUGCUGGCGUCAAUCCUGGCCAGGCUAACUGGUGACUUCAACUGCAGACGCAGCUGCGACUCCGGGCACCAGUUCGGAACAAGGCUCUGCUCACAGUUCUUUCGUCACCUCCGGGUUACGCGACUGCUCCAAAGCUUGCCCAACACCCGGGAUUCUCAUAAAUAAGGAACUCCAUUCCAUACUGCGCCGCCUGCCUGAGAAAACUACAUUUCCCAGCAGGUACCAGAGUGUCUCUAGCCUUUCCCAGCGUGCUCUGAAGUUCGGCAGACUGCUGGGAUUAACCCCUUACUGGCUGCUGCCUCAGGUUGAGCAGUAACCAGAGCAGGGCCCAGCCAUUCCUCCUUCAGAAUGCCAGAGGGCCCAGAGCUGCACCUGGCCAGCCACUUUGUGAAUGAGACAUGUAAGGGGCUGGUAUUUGGUGGGUGUGUGGAGAAGUCCUCUGUCAGCCGGAACCCGGAGGUGCCCUUUGAGAGCAGUGCCUACCACAUCUCAGCUUUAGCCCGAGGCAAGGAGCUGCGCUUGACAUUGAGCCCCCUGCCUGGGUCCCAGCCCCCUCAGAAGCCACUGUCCCUUGUCUUCCGCUUUGGGAUGUCAGGAUCCUUCCAGCUGGUACCCGCAGAGGCACUGCCCCGCCACGCCCAUCUACGUUUUUACACAGCCCCACCUGCUCCCCGGCUUGCCCUUUGCUUCGUAGACAUCCGUCGCUUUGGCCACUGGGAUCCUGGGGGUGAAUGGCAACCAGGCCGUGGACCCUGUGUCUUGCUGGAGUAUGAACGGUUCAGAGAGAACGUACUUCGGAACCUAUCAGACAAAGCCUUUGACCGGCCCAUCUGUGAGGCCUUGUUGGACCAGAGGUUCUUCAAUGGCAUUGGCAACUAUCUGCGGGCAGAGAUCCUGUACCGGCUGAAGAUCCCUCCUUUUGAGAAGGCUCGUACAGUUCUAGAGGCCCUGCAACAGUGCCGGCCGAGCCCAGAGCUGACCCUGAGCCAGAAGAUCAAGGCCAAACUACAGAACCCAGACCUGCUGGAACUGUGUCACUUGGUGCCCAAGGAAGUGGUUCAGCUGGGGGGCAAAGGCUAUGGGCCAGAGCGUGGAGAGGAGGAUUUUGCUGCCUUUCGAGCCUGGCUUCGGUGCUAUGGUGUGCCAGGCAUGAGCUCCCUGCGAGACCGGCAUGGCCGUACCAUCUGGUUCCAGGGUGAUCCCGGACCCUUGGCACCCAAAGGACCUUCCACUUUCAAGCAAGUCCGUUUCCAGGAUGCGGAGGGCCAGGAAGCACCCUCCUAAGAGAAUAGCUCAACAGUCUGAAGGGGCCGGCCUCCAACAAAACCAGGAAACCCCUACAGCUCCUGAGAAAGGGAAGAGGAGGGGGCAACGGGCGAGCACAGGCCACCGCAGACGCCCAAAGACUAUACCUGACACCCGACCCAGGGAGGCUGGGGAGAGUUCAGCUUCAUAGAUGGAGGUCUCCUUCCCUGAUGACUUGCUGUGAAUCCUGGGGCAUGUCUGAAUCCCUAAAAGCAGUAUUUGUAGGGCUGCAUGCCCUAGGCCCCGUGACUUUUCCUGCAUAACUGUUUUUUGGGGGCAGGGCUUUGUAUGUCCUAUCCUUGAACCCAUGUGGAUCUGAAGAUGACAUUGAACUCCCGUUUGGUCUUUCUGCUCCAUGUCCAUGGUUGCCGGGGUUACAGGUGUGAGCCAAGCUGCCACACUCCACUCACUGAUUUGCUGUUGUCUACUUUUUCAAAACAAGGGUUUCUCUGUGUAGCCCUGGCUGUCCUGGAACUCACUCUGUAGACCAAGCUGGCCUCAAAUUCAGAGAUCUGCCUGCUUCUGCCUCCCAAAGUGUUGGAAAUGUAAGCCAUCUUCAACAUUUUUUAAAUCCAAAGUGAAAACCAUUAUUAAACUAAUAAAUUUGAACUUCUUGGUA